RNAcentral lists this ribosomal RNA (246 nucleotides) under uncultured bacterium. RNAcentral's name for it is "partial 16S ribosomal RNA". It matches the Rfam family "Bacterial small subunit ribosomal RNA", at positions 526 to 771 of the family's 1533-position model. The record is from RNAcentral.
CGUAGGGGGCAAGCGUUAUCCGGAAUCACUGGGUGUAAAGGGAGCGUAGACGGUUGUGCAAGUCUGGAGUGAAAGGCGGGGGCCCAACCCCCGGACUGCUCUGGAAACUGUGUAACUGGAGUGCAGGAGAGGCAGGCGGAAUUCCUGGUGUAGCGGUGAAAUGCGUAGAUAUCAGGAGGAACACCGGUGGCGAAGGCGGCCUGCUGGACUGUAACUGACGUUGAGGCUCGAAAGCGUGGGGAGCAA